CCUACGGGAGGCAGCAGUGGGGAAUAUUGGACAAUGGGCGAAAGCCUGAUCCAGCAAUGCCGCGUGUGUGAAGAAGGCCUGCGGGUUGUAAAGCACUUUCAGUUGGGAAGAUGAUGACGUUACCAACAGAAGAAGCACCGGCUAAAUCCGUGCCAGCAGCCGCGGUAAUACGGAUGGUGCGAGCGUUAAUCGGAAUUACUGGGCGUAAAGCGCGCGUAGGCGGCUAAGUCAGUCAGAAGUGAAAGCCCCGGGCUCAACCUGGGAAUUGCUUUUGAUACUGCUUGGCUAGAGUUUGGUAGAGGAUAGUGGAAUUCCAGGUGUAGCGGUGAAAUGCGUAGAUAUCUGGAGGAACAUCAGUGGCGAAGGCGACUGUCUGGACCAAAACUGACGCUGAGGUGCGAAAGCGUGGGUAGCAAACAGGAUUAGAUACCCUGGUAGUCCACGCCGUAAACGAUGUCAACUAGCCGUCGGGUCUAUUUACAGACUUGGUGGCGCAGCUAACGCGAUAAGUUGACCGCCUGGGGAGUACGGCCGCAAGGUUAAAACUCAAAGGAAUUGACGG
RNAcentral lists this ribosomal RNA (562 nucleotides) under uncultured bacterium. RNAcentral's name for it is "bacterial SSU rRNA". It matches the Rfam family "Bacterial small subunit ribosomal RNA", at positions 338 to 916 of the family's 1533-position model. The record is from RNAcentral.